CCCGGAUUGGACGCGGCGCUGCUCUCGCUGGCAGGACCGGAAACGGGCCGUCCUGAGGGAGCGGGAGCCCAGCCGGAGUGGGCCUUGUCGACCAGAGUUAUGUCUUCAGAUUUUCCUCUCUCAUAAGCAACCUGGUCUCCCUCCUCUGAGCACUGUAGAAAGCUCCAGAAGCUGACUGAAGCCCUGUGGGUACUUUCCCAGCAAGUUCACACAAAGAAGGCUGAAGAGGACAUCUUGCCUCUCAGUUUCUGAAGGA
Molecule: long non-coding RNA, 256 nt
Organism: Mesocricetus auratus (golden hamster)
Lineage: Eukaryota; Metazoa; Chordata; Mammalia; Rodentia; Cricetidae
Exons: 2
Source: RefSeq, a predicted model, not a curated record